Molecule: ribosomal RNA, 451 nt
Filed under: uncultured bacterium
Lineage: Bacteria
Description: partial 16S ribosomal RNA
Rfam family: Bacterial small subunit ribosomal RNA
Source: RNAcentral
AAUGAACGCUGGCGGCAGGCCUAAAACAUGCAAGUCGAACGCCUGUAGCAAUACAGGAGUGGCGCACGGGUGCGUAACACGUGGGAAUAUGCCUAUUGGUACGGAACAGCUCCGGGAAACUGGAAUUAAUACCGUAUGGUCCCUUCGGGGUAAAGAUUUAUCGCCAAUAGAUUAGCCCGCGGUGGAUUAGCUAGUUGGUAGGGUAAUGGCUUACCAAGGCGACGAUCCAUAGCUGGUCUGAGAGGACGAUCAGCCACACUGGGACUGAGACACGGCCCAGACGCCUACGGGAGGCAGCAGUUAGGAAUAUUGGACAAUGGGCGCAAGCCUGAUCCAGCCAUGCAGCGUGAGUGAUGAAGGCCUUCGGGUUGUAAAACUCUUUAGCCGAUGAAUAUAAUGACUGUAGUCGGAAAAUAAGCCCCGGCUAACUUCGUGCCAGCCGCCGCGGUAA